Molecule: ribosomal RNA, 500 nt
Filed under: uncultured KB1 group bacterium
Lineage: Bacteria; Candidatus Calescibacteriota
Description: bacterial SSU rRNA
Rfam family: Bacterial small subunit ribosomal RNA
Source: RNAcentral
CUCAGGUUGUAAACUCCUUUGUGGGGGCGAAUAAGGUCAGUAGGAAAUAGCAGAUCGAUGACGGUACCCCAGGAACAAGCGCCGGCUAACUUGUGCCAGCAGCCGCGGUAAUACGAAGGGCGCAAGCGAUAUCCGGAAUUCUGGGCGUAAAGGGCGUCUAGGCGGUCGGUCAAGUCAGUCGUGAAAGUCCUUGGCUUAACUGAGGAAAGUCGGCCGAUACUGAUCGACUAGAGGGACGUAGAGGUAAGCGGAACUCUCGGAGUAGCGGUGAAAUGCGUAGAGACCGAGAGGUACCCCGAUGGUGAAAACAGCUUACUGGGCGUCUCCUGACGCUGAAGCGCUAAGGCCAGGGGAGCGAAGGGGAUUAGAUACCCCCGUAGUCCUGGCUUCAAACUAUGUGGGCGGAUGUCGGCUCCCGAUAGAGGGAUGUUCCCGGAAUAGCCGUUUUAGCACACCCAGCUCUAAUCGUUACGCAAGGAUGAAACGCAUGACCUUCACGG